UGUGUGUGUGUGUGUGUGUGUGUGUGUGUAAGGAUCGUGUAGAAUGCGUUUGGACCCCAGAGCAGAUUUGUUCCACUUGUCAGAUCAGGAAAUUUCUCUUGCGAAUCUUUUUCCAGUCGAUUCACUCCAUGUUCGAAGCGAGAGACCGCUCUCUCGUCUCGUUUCACUCUCUGUGGACGCGCUGAUCCCGUUUCAGGUUCCGGAUCCACCGCGUCUCUGACCGGGACGCGGCGGGCACUGAAGACGGACGUAUGAAUAAAUGAAUACAUUAGAAAACGAAGCCUUUUCCAGCGCUCCUUCUCCUAGCAACAGUGCUGUCACGGGUUUGGAAACUUUGAACCAACUAUUGUCUCCGUAUGUGAUCGAGAACUUCCAAACGCCUCGGUGGAAGAGUGGAGGAACAUCUCACAGCAAGAACUGACCAAUCUGGUGCAGUCCAUGAGGAUGAGAUGCUCUGUAGUACUUAAAGCAGCUGGAGGACACACCAGUUAUGCUGUCGUUGCUGGCCUUGCCAGAGUCCCUGCUUAGACUCUGCACACAAUGUACGUCUUCUCAACCUUGCGAGGACAAGAGCAUCAAGAGUCAAGUUAAGAGUCGUUUAUAUCCUAUAUGCAGUGCACGCCACUAAUAUUGGCCCGCUUGAUACCGGUGAUCCUGACUCCUUUGGACUUGCCUCUGGACCUGCUUGAUGCAUCUUGAAGCCCCUCUUCUGCUUGGCGAUUUUGUCACCUGAAAAUGACUCACUGCUGCUGCUGCACAUGUACGGCCUAACGACAACCAUCAGAUUACUGUGGAUGGUAGCACAAAGAAACCAUAAUGAGGGCUGUGGAUGGUCUUCCUUGGAUAGCCUGAGGACCACAAUUGCUAAGAACAGUUUACCGUCUCCAUCAUUGGACAGUUAAAGCUAUAAUAAUACUCCUAUUCAAGCUCCUAAAAAAAAAUGACCACUUUUUUGAUAUAGAUCUAGAACAGAAAUCAUUUAUAAAUCACACGAUCUGGUACCACCCAGCUGAGGAUAGGUUCCUCUCAAGGUUUCUUCCUCCCUCAGGGAGUUUUUAACUUGCCCCUGUGGCUUUUGGAUAAAUGUAUAAAUGUAAAAGUUAUAUCUGGAUUUCUGUAUAGCUGCUUUGUGACAAUAUCUAUUGCUAAAAACUCUAAUACAAAUAAAAAUGAGAAUCAAGCACAUACGGGUGUGAUCAGUCAGGUGUCCACAUUCAUUUUGGCAAUAUAAUGCCACUAAUCGGUGGUUUUAUGAUGACCCCCGACGUGAACACGGUAGAUCCCCUAACUGACUUCCAAAACGAAAU
Long non-coding RNA from Ictalurus punctatus (channel catfish), 1307 nucleotides. RefSeq lists it as uncharacterized. The record is from RefSeq and is a predicted model, not a curated record. The transcript is spliced from 4 exons. Lineage: Eukaryota; Metazoa; Chordata; Actinopteri; Siluriformes; Ictaluridae.